RNAcentral lists this ribosomal RNA (466 nucleotides) under uncultured bacterium. Its description in RNAcentral is "partial 16S ribosomal RNA". It matches the Rfam family "Bacterial small subunit ribosomal RNA", at positions 28 to 507 of the family's 1533-position model. The record is from RNAcentral.
GAUGAACGCUGGCGGCGUGCUUAACACAUGCAAGUCGAACGAUGAAGCCCAGCUUGCUGGGUGGAUUAGUGGCGAACGGGUGAGUAACACGUGAGUAACCUGCCCUUAACUCUGGGAUAAGCCUGGGAAACUGGGUCUAAUACCGGAUAGGAGCGUCCACCGCAUGGUGGGUGUUGGAAAGAUUUAUCGGUUUUGGAUGGACUCGCGGCCUAUCAGCUUGUUGGUGAGGUAAUGGCUCACCAAGGCGACGACGGGUAGCCGGCCUGAGAGGGUGACCGGCCACACGGGGACUGAGACACGGCCCAGAAGCCUACGGGAGGCAGAAGUGGGGAAUAUUGCACAAUGGGCGAAAGCCUGAUGCAGCGACGCCGCGUGAGGGAUGACGGCCUUCGGGUUGUAAACCUCUUUCAGUAGGGAAGAAGCGAAAGUGACGGUACCUGCAGAAGAAGCACCGGCUAACUACGUG